GGGGUUGUGGCUCAGUGGUAGAGUGCUUGCCUAGCACACAUGAGGCACUGGGUUCAAACCUCAGCACCA
This 69-nucleotide transfer RNA is filed under the name Marmota marmota marmota (Alpine marmot). It matches the Rfam family "tRNA". Rfam says of the family: Transfer RNA (tRNA) molecules are approximately 80 nucleotides in length. Their secondary structure includes four short double-helical elements and three loops (D, anti-codon, and T loops). Further hydrogen bonds mediate the characteristic L-shaped molecular structure. tRNAs have two regions of fundamental functional importance: the anti-codon, which is responsible for specific mRNA codon recognition, and the 3' end, to which the tRNAs corresponding amino acid is attached (by aminoacyl-tRNA synthetases). tRNAs cope with the degeneracy of the genetic code in two manners: having more than one tRNA (with a specific anti-codon) for a particular amino acid; and 'wobble' base-pairing, i.e. permitting non-standard base-pairing at the 3rd anti-codon position. RNAcentral also lists the same sequence under 4 other names. Lineage: Eukaryota; Metazoa; Chordata; Mammalia; Rodentia; Sciuridae. The record is from Rfam by way of RNAcentral.